CCUACGGGAGGCAGCAGUGAGGAAUCUUGCGCAAUGGGGGCAACCCUGACGCAGCCACGCCGCGUGCUGGAAGACGGCCCUAUGGGUUGUAAACAGCUUUUGGUCGGGAAGAACCCGGGGGUUUCGAUCCCCGCUGACGGUACCGAUUGAAUAAGCACCGGCUAACUCCGUGCCAGCAGCCGCGGUAAUACGGAGGGUGCAAGCGUUGUCCGGAAUUAUUGGGUGUAAAGGGUGUGCAGGCGGAAGUCUAAGUCGGAGGUGAAAUCUUGCCGCUUAACGGUAAAAGGGCCUUCGAUACUGGAUUUCUUGAGUUCGGAAGAGGUUGGUGGAAUUCGUGGUGUAGCGGUGAAAUGCAUAGAUAUCACGAAGAACACCGGUGGCGAAGGCGGCCAACUGGUCCGACACUGACGCUGAGACACGAAAGCGUGGGGAGCGAACAGGAUUAGAUACCCUGGUAGUCCACGCUGUAAACGAUGCAUGCUAGUUGUUGCCCCCUCGGGGGCAGUGACGCAGUUAACGCAGUAAGCAUGCCACCUGGGGAGUACGUUCGCAAGAAUGAAACUCAAAGGAAUUGACGGGGGCCCGCACAAGCGGUGGAGCAUGUGGCUUAAUUCGAUGCAACGCGAAGAACCUUAC
RNAcentral lists this ribosomal RNA (636 nucleotides) under uncultured Bacteroidota bacterium. RNAcentral's name for it is "bacterial SSU rRNA". It matches the Rfam family "Bacterial small subunit ribosomal RNA", at positions 338 to 974 of the family's 1533-position model. The record is from RNAcentral. Lineage: Bacteria; Pseudomonadati; Bacteroidota.